Molecule: long non-coding RNA, 695 nt
Filed under: Equus asinus (donkey)
Lineage: Eukaryota; Metazoa; Chordata; Mammalia; Perissodactyla; Equidae
Description: lncRNA (ENSEASG00005033550.1)
Source: RNAcentral
CUGGACUUGGACCCAAGGAGGCAGCAAUUAAAGGUUGGAGUCAUCUUUAAAGGAAAUCCCUUUGAGUGUCCUUCCAUGUGGGUCAACUGUCAUUCAAAAGGAGAGGAGAAGUGGAAAUCGACCAGUUUGGACAGAGUCAAAAGAGCAAAUAGGAACUGUGCUCAGAAAGGUUCAAGCACGCCCUGGGGACCCGCGAGAGGAGACAGAGUGUCAGUACUGGCGGUGGUAUCCAGCUUUCACCUCUAGCUUCCCCGCAGGAGGCGAAGUCCCUGUGUGACUGCGUUUCUGAGAGGCUGGGAUGGCGGCAGUGGGCUGGGAGGCCUGUGCAGGUGCCUUGGUUGCCACUCCAACCUUAUGACUUGCUACAGUAAUUGUGUCCACCUGCCUUCUGAUGGUUAAAUGCCACCACCUGACCUCAAUUGCUUCCGGGUCCUCCCAUGCCUGUUUCUAUUGGGCAGGGUGCCGUUCUUCCCCACCAGGGCCCUGACUGUGGCACAGGCGGCCUGCGGGCUAGGAGUCUACCCUCCGGAAUGCCUCUGAAGACCAAGUCCCGGGCCUGGCCCCCAGCUUUGUCUGCCAUCCCACUACAGAAGCUGACGGCCUCUCUCUACGCCAGCAAGGAGACCCUGAGUGUGGCUCUCGGCCCUUCUGUAUCCUUUACUAUAGCGUCAACCAAGCACAGCACUAGCCAUUCA